GAUGAACGCUGGCGGCGUGCCUAAUACAUGCAAGUCGAGCGAACGGACGAGAAGCUUGCUUUUCUGAUGUUAGCGGCGGACGGGUGAGUAACACGUGGAUAACCUACCUAUAAGACUGGGAUAACUUCGGGAAACCGGAGCUAAUACCGGAUAAUAUUUUGAGCCGCAUGGUUCAAAAGUGAAAGACGGUCCUGCUGUCACUUAUAGAUGGAUCCGCGCUGCAUUAGCUAGUUGGUAAGGUAACGGCUUACCAAGGCAACGAUGCAUAGCCGACCUGAGAGGGUGAUCGGCCACACUGGAACUGAGACACGGUCCAGACUCCUACGGGAGGCAGCAGUAGGGAAUCUUCCGCAAUGGGCGAAAGCCUGACGGAGCAACGCCGCGUGAGUGAUGAAGGUCUUCGGAUCGUAAAACUCUGUUAUUAGGGAAGAACAUAUGUGUAAGUAACUGUGCACAUCUUGACGGUACCUAAUCAGAAAGCCACGGCUAACUACGUG
Molecule: ribosomal RNA, 497 nt
Filed under: uncultured bacterium
Lineage: Bacteria
Description: partial 16S ribosomal RNA
Rfam family: Bacterial small subunit ribosomal RNA
Source: RNAcentral